RNAcentral lists this ribosomal RNA (292 nucleotides) under uncultured bacterium. RNAcentral describes it as "partial 16S ribosomal RNA". It matches the Rfam family "Bacterial small subunit ribosomal RNA", at positions 505 to 796 of the family's 1533-position model. The record is from RNAcentral.
GUGUCAGCCGCCGCGGUAAUACGAACCGUCCAAACGUUAUUCGGAUUUAUUGGGCUUAAAGGGUAUGUAGGCGGCCCUUCAAGUCGGGUGUGAAAGCCCUCGGCUCAACCGAGGAACUGCGCCCGAUACUGUGGGGCUCGAGGGAGACAGAGGUAAGCGGAACUGAUGGUGGAGCGGUGAAAUGCGUUGAUAUCAUCAGGAACACCAGUGGCGAAAGCGGCUUACUGGGUCUCUUCUGACGCUGAGAUACGAAAGCUAGGGGAGCGAACGGGAUUAGAUACCCCCGUAGUCC